This 334-nucleotide unclassified non-coding RNA is filed under the name soil metagenome. Its description in RNAcentral is "partial contains 5.8S ribosomal RNA, internal transcribed spacer 2, and large subunit ribosomal RNA". The stretch from base 1 to 120 matches the Rfam family "5.8S ribosomal RNA", at positions 35 to 154 of the family's 154-position model. The record is from RNAcentral.
GAUGAAGAACGUAGUGAAAUGCGAUAAGUAAUGUGAAUUGCAGAAUUCAGUGAAUCAUCGAAUCUUUGAACGCACAUUGCGCCCGCCAGUAUUCUGGUGGGCAUGCCUGUUCGAGCGUCAUUUCAACCAUCAAGCCCUGCUUGCGUUGGGGUCCUGCGGCUGCCCGCAGGCCCUGAAAACCAGUGGCGGGCUCGCUAGUCACACCGAGCGCAGUAAUACAUCUCGCUUUGGGCGUGCGGCGGGUUCUUGCCGUUAAACACCCCCUUUUUACCAAGGUUGACCUCGGAUCAGGUAGGAAUACCCGCUGAACUUAAGCAUAUCAAUAAGCGGAGGA